GACGAACGCUGGCGGCGUGCUUAACACAUGCAAGUCGAACGGAAAGGCCCUGCUUUUGUGGGGUGCUCGAGUGGCGAACGGGUGAGUAACACGUGAGUAACCUGCCCUUGACUUUGGGAUAACUUCAGGAAACUGGGGCUAAUACCGGAUAGGAGCUCCUGCUGCAUGGUGGGGGUUGGAAAGUUUCGGCGGUUGGGGAUGGACUCGCGGCUUAUCAGCUUGUUGGUGGGGUAGAGGCUUACCAAGGCUUUGACGGGUAGCCGGCCUGAGAGGGUGACCGGCCACAUUGGGACCGAGAUACGGCCCAGACUCCUACGGGAGGCAGCAGUGGGGAAUAUUGCACAAUGGGCGGAAGCCUGAUGCAGCAACGCCGCGUGCGGGAUGACGGCCUUCGGGUUGUAAACCGCUUUCGCCUGUGACGAAGCGUGAGUGACGGUAAUGGGUAAAGAAGCACCGGCUAACUACGUG
Molecule: ribosomal RNA, 468 nt
Filed under: uncultured bacterium
Lineage: Bacteria
Description: partial 16S ribosomal RNA
Rfam family: Bacterial small subunit ribosomal RNA
Source: RNAcentral